ACUCCUGCGGGAGGCAGCAGUGGGGAAUUUUGGACAAUGGGCGAAAGCCUGAUCCAGCCAUGCCGCGUGCAGGAUGAAGGCCUUCGGGUUGUAAACUGCUUUUGUACGGAACGAAACGGCCUUUUCUAAUAAAGAGGGCUAAUGACGGUACCGUAAGAAUAAGCACCGGCUAACUACGUGCCAGCAGCCGCGGUAAUACGUAGGGUGCAAGCGUUAAUCGGAAUUACUGGGCGUAAAGCGUGCGCAGGCGGUUAUGUAAGACAGUUGUGAAAUCCCCGGGCUCAACCUGGGAACUGCAUCUGUGACUGCAUAGCUAGAGUACGGUAGAGGGGGAUGGAAUUCCGCGUGUAGCAGUGAAAUGCGUAGAUAUGCGGAGGAACACCGAUGGCGAAGGCAAUCCCCUGGACCUGUACUGACGCUCAUGCACGAAAGCGUGGGGAGCAAACAGGAUUAGAAACCCCAGUAGUCCCAUG
Molecule: ribosomal RNA, 473 nt
Filed under: uncultured organism
Description: partial 16S ribosomal RNA
Rfam family: Bacterial small subunit ribosomal RNA
Source: RNAcentral